UCCUGUAUUUUGCUGUGUGCAGCCUCCAAGUCCUGACCCUGCAAAGCCUUUUAAUACAAGCUUUGCUUUAACUCUUUUUCUAGAGCUCAUGCCUGUGCAGGAAGGGCUACACCCAGCCAAUGUGCCCAGGCAGUGCUGUGAUCACAAAAAGAGCUGAUACUUCAUCGAAUCCAUGCCAGCUGUGAUGCCCAGGACUGGAUUUUUUGCAUCCAGCUCAGAUCCUCUCAUUCUGCAAGUGUUCCCAGGCUUUGGAAGACUGACUGCUGGAGGGAGUUACAGCCCAUCUCCUGUCCCACGGGUACAUGUGCCCAGAGGGCAUGAAGCAGCACCACCAGAGCUGCCAAAGCAGAGAUGGAGGAGACACAGACCCCACGGAAAUCUGGAAGUGGACUGGCUCCCAGCCUGACACCCCAGGCAAAUAUCUUUAUACAGAGGAUGCACAGGCAGGGCAGAGGAGGCCUCCACUUUGCUUCCCACCACUAAGGCUGCUGAGCAAGCAGCCUGUUGCAUUCUCCUCUGACUUUAAUUUGCAAAUAGCCUUAAAGGAUUGCAGAAAACAGCAUGGGAAUUUCUUUUUAAUGAUGGUAAUAAAGGUUAGGCUGUUUGUGUAAAGCCUGCAAUGUAAUCACUGAACAACAUAAGAGUACACAAGGUGUCAUGUAGAAACAAAGAGGUCACCCUGAGCAGAGGAGGGAAUGAAAGCAGAGAGAAGCAUCCAUAUUCACUGAACAAAACCUCUGCACUCUCAUGUCUGGACACUGAGCCUACCUGGGCACUAGUAAAAAUCCAAACAAAUAAAUAGAAUUGUCUCACAUCUCUUGAAUUCACCUGCCGGAGCAGUGGCUGUGUUCUUUGAUCACCCAAACAGGCAGCCUGAAAACAGUUUGAAAAGCUGAAAUUCAGGGGUGCUGGCCAUUUAGCUACUCUCUGUAUUGAAGGCCCAGAAAAAAGGAUGCCAGACAAUGUUUUUCAAUGGCCUCUUUCUUUUCCUAGGCAGAACCUGAAAAAUGCCUCUUGAUGAGCUCUCCAGAACUAAUCACCAUACACUGCUUACCUAUUCACUUUCCAGGCUGGUGAUAUUAUAGUUAUUAUGCUGUGUCCUGUCACGCCCUCAGUUCGUUAGACUCCUAAUGAGAAGACCUAAUUCCUUCCCUGGCUGGUUGGGAGGCUUGGCUAGUGGUGUUGUGUAAAUGAAGGAGAUGGUUAUUACUAUGAUCAUGAUUAUGUUUCAUUAGUAAUAACAAGGAACUGUGGUCAGGUAUGGCUUAUUUACAGGAAAUGAGAGAAAAUACCUACUUAAAAAGAAGCUUAAAGGAACUGGUGAUUUUCAUCAAAUGAGAGGAGAGAUUUGCAUGUGAAACAGAACAUGAUGAGCUUGGCAAAAAAAUCCCUACGAUCAUUAGAUCAUUAACUCCAAUUUUAAAAUUAUUUAAAUUUGCUAUGCAUUUUAUCCCAAGGAGCACUGUCUUCCUGCAAGCAUGCAGGCAAGGUCAGGAGUUCCUCACGGAAACACUUGGAGGAAGGGAAGGGUGAGCACAUAAAUUGGAUGAUUCAUAUUUCAGUGAGAACUCCACCACCCUGAGUGAGAGGAGGGUUCAAGGAGAGAGCUCCUUUCCUGUGCCAGAUGGGCCAAUGACUAAGGAAGAGAAUAAAAGACUAGGAAAGUUAAGGAUGGUCUUUUCCUUACUACAACUUCACAGCUUUUGGCAGGCAGCAGGUUUUUGCUCUCUGAAGAGGCCCAGAUGGCACCUGGACCCAAUAGUGCUGAUGAUCCCAUGAAAAGAUCUGCCUCACCCUUGUGAUUGCUCAUGAGCUGUGGUGUACCAGUGUAUCUGGGCCAGAUGCAAAUGUGUUUCAGACAGCAGAGUACUGGGGGAAAGAAUGGUGCAAGUCCCCUGUCAGGACCGUUAGGUCAUGUUUAACUGGUGAUAGUGAUCCAGUUAUCACAAGUGAUGUGCUGGCCACAACUAUUUAAAAUAUGACACAACAAAUACUUUCAAACAGUGAUUUGCUCACAGAAGCUUGCUUUCAAAGAGGCAAUGUUUUUCUUCAAGGAGUGUUUCCUUGCAGCUCAUGGACCAAGACUUAAGCCAGAAAAACCUGCUUAUGACAUGGGAAACCCCUUACCAGGUGCAAGGGGCUGUCUGUAAAGCCGUUUCCAAAGAGCAAGCUACUGAAAUCAAUGCUUAUCAAAGGCCAAUCCAGACACUAUCCCAUUCCUUCAAAUGUCCAGCAACGAGAUGUGACUCAGAGAAGUGCUGCUGUGUCCCUUAAACACGGAUGGAGAAACCCAGCACAACAACAAACAUGCCAAAACCGUUAUUACAUAUAUACAUAUAUACAUAUAUAAAUACAUUAUACCAUGUAUUGUAUCUAUUUAUUGUUUUCUAUUCUGACAUUAAUUCAAAACUCUCAUCAUGAUCCAUCUGUGCCCCAAAAAUUGUCUGCUUUUCCAGAGGAAAACAGGAAGCUCAUUAACUUCCUUUAGAAGAUACAAAUCUGUACCUCAUCAUAAACCUUAAAAAUCCCCCAUAUGAUAUCCUGUACUGGAAGGUAAUUUUUUGUAAAAAUUUGGAAUAGUUGAUACAUCUCCAACAUUCUUGUUUGCUCACAGUCUGUUCAUAGGACACCUCAGGUAUCUGAACAGAGACAUUACACUACUUCAUGACACCUGCAAAGCCUUGGAGGAAAAUCAGGUGAAGUAGAGGAAUAGGAAGAUAACUUUUACAAGGAAUAGCAAGAACAGCAUAGGAUUCUUUUUUAAUUAGACAGACAAAUUAAAACAUGAAAGAAACACUAGAUACAGUUUCUUUUUAUUUUUUCAACUGGCUAUAGCUUUAAUCUUAGCAAUUCAGAGCUUGCACAAUGGCAUCUGUACAAACAGCUGUAGUUCCCCUGUGUAAAACACACUGGAUACAGCAGUGAAUUUGCUUGAACUUGCUUUCACAGGCAGCAUGGUCUAACAAAGGAAUGGUUAAUGAUUUCUGCUAAAUAAUAGAAAGCUUCAGACACAUGGCAGUGCAGGAUGCUCCUUACUCUCCCCUUGUCCAGACACACACCUUAAACCUUACACAACCUAGAAUCUAAUUUGAGGUGGAGGGUGUUGUGGGGGGUUGGUUUGGGGCCUAUAUGGGAAUGGUAAUAAAGAGAAAUCUUCAUUUACUUUGCCUGGCUGUGGAGUAGACCAUGUGGAUUACUUUUUUAUUCACAUUUACUCUUCCAUGAGUGUUUGUAUUCAAAAAGCCUAAUAUGCCCUAUACCAAAAGAUUACAUGUAAUUGGCUUGAUGCUCAUCAACUUGAAAUGCUGGGAGGCAUCCCAGUGUAUUAAAUUUAAUUGUUUAUAUCUAGGGUACCACGCAAUAAAAAUCCCCAAAAAACAAUAAAGUUGUACAUUUUACAA
Corvus hawaiiensis (hawaiian crow) is the source of this 3401-nucleotide long non-coding RNA. RefSeq lists it as uncharacterized. The transcript has 2 exons. The record is from RefSeq and is a predicted model, not a curated record. Lineage: Eukaryota; Metazoa; Chordata; Aves; Passeriformes; Corvidae.